GAUGAACGCUGACAGAAUGCUUAACGCAUGCAAGUCUUUGGCGAAGCUGUGCUUGCACCGCCUAGCCAAGGCGGACGGGUGAGUAACGCGUAAGGAACUUGCCCUGCAGUCAGGGAUAACAGACGGAAACGACUGAUAAGACCUGGUAAAGUCAGGCGGACUCAUGUCCAGCCUGAUGAAAAGUGAUGCUGCAGGAGAGCCUUGCGUCCUAUUAGCUUGUUGGUGGGGUAACGGCCCACCAAGGCGAUGAUAGGUAGCCGGCCUGAGAGGGUGGACGGCCACAAGGGGACUGAGAUACGGCCCUUACUCCUACGGGAGGCAGCAGUGGGGAAUAUUGGACAAUGGGGGCAACCCUGAUCCAGCAAUUCUGUGUGCACGAUGAAGGUUUUCGGAUUGUAAAGUGCUUUCAGCAGGGAAGAAAAAAAUGACGGUACCUGCAGAAGAAGCGACGGCUAAAUACGUG
RNAcentral lists this ribosomal RNA (463 nucleotides) under uncultured bacterium. Its description in RNAcentral is "partial 16S ribosomal RNA". It matches the Rfam family "Bacterial small subunit ribosomal RNA", at positions 28 to 507 of the family's 1533-position model. The record is from RNAcentral.